ACGGGCCCGUCGAUGUGUCUUCUUUGGUUAUCCCCUUGGUCAAAAGGGUUAUCGUCUUUAUGAUCUUACUGCACAAACAUUUCUUUCAUCUCGAGAUGUGGUUUUUCACGAAAAUAUAUUCCCAUUUUCUACAUCCCCGUCCGAAAAUCAAGAUGACACAAUUGUCCUACCCACUCCAUCCCAUGACCCAUUAUCUCUCCCAGAACCCCAUCUGGCCCACAAUCCCCAUCCAGCCCAUGAUCCACAGACCCAGGUAACCCAAGACCACACCAUCUCUGAUUCGCCCACUCCUUACCUACAUCCCUCUCCCGUGGCAUUAGAUGCCGCCCCUCCUUCAUCCCUUGACCCAUCAGCUUCGUCUCCGCCUAUCAUACCAGAUCUUCCCACUAUUCCCUCAUCACCUUCCAUCGACACCCACCCCCCUCCUAUUCGCAAAUCCACCCGCACUACCAAACCUCCUUCCCACUUCAAAGAUUACCACGCUCACCAUGCUGCCCUGCUUGCUCCUGGCGCUCCUUCCCCAAUCACGUCUGGCACUCGCUACCCCAUCACUCGGUAUGUCUCUCACUCCAAUUUUUCUGAGCAUCAUAGAAUUUUUGUCAACAAUAUCUCUCAAUUGGUUGAACCCAACACCUAUGAGGAGGCACGACAUCACCCACACUGGGUUGAAGCCAUGAAUUCUGAAAUUACAGCUCUGGAGGAGAACAACACUUGGUCCUUAGUUCCAUUGCCAGCUGGUCAUCGUCCGAUCGGAUGCAAAUGGGUUUUCAAAAUUAAAUACAAUUCUGAUGGUUCUAUUGAGAGAUACAAAGCUCGCUUGGUCGCCAAAGGAUUCACCCAACGUGAA
This 847-nucleotide long non-coding RNA is filed under the name Prunus dulcis (almond). RNAcentral's name for it is "sRNA ncRNA". Lineage: Eukaryota; Viridiplantae; Streptophyta; Magnoliopsida; Rosales; Rosaceae. The record is from RNAcentral.